This 1330-nucleotide ribosomal RNA is filed under the name uncultured bacterium. RNAcentral's name for it is "bacterial SSU rRNA". It matches the Rfam family "Bacterial small subunit ribosomal RNA", at positions 28 to 1381 of the family's 1533-position model. The record is from RNAcentral.
GACGAACGCUGGCGGCGUGCUUAACACAUGCAAGUCGAACGGACCCUUUGGGGUUAGUGGCGAACGGGUGAGUAACACGCGGGUGAUCUGCCCUGCACUUUGGGAUAAGCCUGGGAAACUGGGUCUAAUACCGGAUAGGACUACGCACUGCAUGGUGUGUGGUGGAAAGCUUUUGCGGUGUGGGAUGGGCCCGCGGCCUAUCAGCUUGUUGGUGGGGUGAUGGCCUACCAAGGCGACGACGGGUAGCCGGCCUGAGAGGGUGACCGGCCACACUGGGACUGAGAUACGGCCCAGACUCCUACGGGAGGCAGCAGUGGGGAAUAUUGCACAAUGGGCGCAAGCCUGAUGCAGCGACGCCGCGUGAGGGAUGACGGCCUUCGGGUUGUAAACCUCUUUCGCCAGGGACGAAGCGCAAGUGACGGUACCUGGAGAAGAAGGACCGGCCAACUACGUGCCAGCAGCCGCGGUAAUACGUAGGGUCCGAGCGUUGUCCGGAAUUACUGGGCGUAAAGAGCUCGUAGGUGGUUUGUCGCGUUGUUCGUGAAAACUCACAGCUUAACUGUGGGCGUGCGGGCGAUACGGGCAGACUGGAGUACUGCAGGGGAGACUGGAAUUCCUGGUGUAGCGGUGGAAUGCGCAGAUAUCAGGAGGAACACCGGUGGCGAAGGCGGGUCUCUGGGCAGUAACUGACGCUGAGGAGCGAAAGCGUGGGGAGCGAACAGGAUUAGAUACCCUGGUAGUCCACGCCGUAAACGGUGGGUACUAGGUGUGGGUCUCCUUCCUUGGGAUCCGUGCCGUAGCUAACGCAUUAAGUACCCCGCCUGGGGAGUACGGCCGCAAGGCUAAAACUCAAAGGAAUUGACGGGGGCCCGCACAAGCGGCGGAGCAUGUGGAUUAAUUCGAUGCAACGCGAAGAACCUUACCUGGGUUUGACAUGCACAGGACGCCGGCAGAGAUGUCGGUUCCCUUGUGGCCUGUGUGCAGGUGGUGCAUGGCUGUCGUCAGCUCGUGUCGUGAGAUGUUGGGUUAAGUCCCGCAACGAGCGCAACCCUUGUCUCAUGUUGCCAGCACGUUAUGGUGGGGACUCGUGAGAGACUGCCGGGGUCAACUCGGAGGAAGGUGGGGAUGACGUCAAGUCAUCAUGCCCCUUAUGUCCAGGGCUUCACACAUGCUACAAUGGCCGGUACAAAGGGCUGCGAUGCCGUGAGGUGGAGCGAAUCCUUUCAAAGCCGGUCUCAGUUCGGAUCGGGGUCUGCAACUCGACCCCGUGAAGUCGGAGUCGCUAGUAAUCGCAGAUCAGCAACGCUGCGGUGAAUACGUUCCCGGGCCU